GACGUAGGGCGCGAGCGUUGUCCGGAUUUAUUGGGCGUAAAGAGCUCGUAGGCGGCUUGUCGCGUCGUCCGUGAAAACCUGCAGCUCAACUGCAGGCUUGCGGUCGAUACGGGCAGGCUAGAGUUCGGCAGGGGAGACUGGAAUUCCUGGUGUAGCGGUGAAAUGCGCAGAUAUCAGGAGGAACACCGGUGGCGAAGGCGGGUCUCUGGGCCGAUACUGACGCUGAGGAGCGAAAGCGUGGGGAGCGAACAGG
RNAcentral lists this ribosomal RNA (253 nucleotides) under uncultured bacterium. RNAcentral describes it as "partial 16S ribosomal RNA". It matches the Rfam family "Bacterial small subunit ribosomal RNA", at positions 524 to 776 of the family's 1533-position model. The record is from RNAcentral.